GUAACACGUGGGUGAUCUGCCCUGCACUUUGGGAUAAGCCUGGGAAACUGGGUCUAAUACCGAAUAGGACUACGCGAUGCAUGUCGUGUGGUGGAAAGCUUUUGCGGUGUGGGAUGGGCCCGCGGCCUAUCAGCUUGUUGGUGAGGUUACGGCUCACCAAGGCGACGACGGGUAGCCGGCCUGAGAGGGUGACCGGCCACACUGGGACUGAGAUACGGCCCAGACUCCUACGGGAGGCAGCAGUGGGGAAUAUUGCACAAUGGGCGCAAGCCUGAUGCAGCGACGCCGCGUGAGGGAUGACGGCCUUCGGGUUGUAAACCUCUUUCGCCAGGGACGAAGCGCAAGUGACGGUACCUGGAGAAGAAGGACCGGCCAACUACGUGCCAGCAGCCGCGGUAAUACGUAGGGUCCGAGCGUUGUCCGGAAUUACUGGGCGUAAAGAGCUCGUAGGUGGUUUGUCGCGUUGUUCGUGAAAACUCACAGCUCAACUGUGGGCGUGCGGGCGAUACGGGCAGACUGGAGUACUGCAGGGGAGACUGGAAUUCCUGGUGUAGCGGUGGAAUGCGCAGAUAUCAGGAGGAACACCGGUGGCGAAGGCGGGUCUCUGGGCAGUAACUGACGCUGAGGAGCGAAAGCGUGGGGAGCGAACAGGAUUAGAUACCCUGGUAGUCCACGCCGUAAACGGUGGGUACUAGGUGUGGGUUUCCUUCCUUGGGAUCCGUGCCGUAGCUAACGCAUUAAGUACCCCGCC
This 751-nucleotide ribosomal RNA is filed under the name Mycolicibacterium sp. RNAcentral describes it as "bacterial SSU rRNA". It matches the Rfam family "Bacterial small subunit ribosomal RNA", at positions 110 to 873 of the family's 1533-position model. Lineage: Bacteria; Bacillati; Actinomycetota; Actinomycetes; Mycobacteriales; Mycobacteriaceae. The record is from RNAcentral.